RNAcentral lists this ribosomal RNA (399 nucleotides) under uncultured bacterium. RNAcentral's name for it is "bacterial SSU rRNA". It matches the Rfam family "Bacterial small subunit ribosomal RNA", at positions 29 to 406 of the family's 1533-position model. The record is from RNAcentral.
AAUCAACGCUGGCGGCGUGCCUAACACAUGCAAGUCGAACGCGAAAGGGGCUUCGGCCCUGAGUAGAGUGGCGAACGGGUGAGUAACACGUGGGUGAUCUACCUUCGAGUGGGGGAGUAACGUCCCGAAACGGGACGGCUAAUACCGCAUGACGUUCCGGGUUUAAAGACCAGGAAACCAAAGCCGGGGACCGGCAAGGCCUGGCGCUUGAAGAGGAGCCCGCGUCCGAUUAGCUAGUUGGCGGGGUAACGGCCCACCAAGGCGACGAUCGGUAGCCGGCCUGAGAGGGCGGGACGGCCACACUGGGACUGAGACACGGCCCACGACUCCUACGGGAGGGCAGCAGUGGGGAAGUUGUUCACAAUGCGCGCAAGCCUGAUGACGCAACGCCGCGUGGGG